UGAUAGCGAAGAAGCGGUAGUUGCUGCUGCAGGAGCAGGUAAUAUCGUGGAGCGAAUGUCAAGAUCAAAGAAUCUGGCGACAA
This 83-nucleotide non-coding RNA is filed under the name uncultured Eubacterium sp. Its description in RNAcentral is "S10-Clostridia ribosomal protein leader". It matches the Rfam family "S10-Clostridia ribosomal protein leader". The record is from RNAcentral. Lineage: Bacteria; Bacillati; Bacillota; Clostridia; Eubacteriales; Eubacteriaceae.